GGUGGCUCAGUGGUAGAGCGCUUGCCUCGCAUGCCUGAGACCCUGGGUUCAAUUCCUCAGCACCA
Non-coding RNA from Dipodomys ordii (Ord's kangaroo rat), 65 nucleotides. The record is from Rfam. NCBI's taxonomy places the organism in Eukaryota, Metazoa, Chordata, Mammalia, Rodentia, Heteromyidae.